Molecule: ribosomal RNA, 435 nt
Filed under: uncultured bacterium
Lineage: Bacteria
Description: bacterial SSU rRNA
Rfam family: Bacterial small subunit ribosomal RNA
Source: RNAcentral
AGCGAACGCUGGCGGCAGGCUUAACACAUGCAAGUCGAGCGGGCGUAGCAAUACGUCAGCGGCAGACGGGUGAGUAACGCGUGGGAACGUACCUUUUGGUUCGGAACAACACAGGGAAACUUGUGCUAAUACCGGAUAAGCCCUUACGGGGAAAGAUUUAUCGCCGAAAGAUCGGCCCGCGUCUGAUUAGCUAGUUGGUGAGGUAACGGCUCACCAAGGCGACGAUCAGUAGCUGGUCUGAGAGGAUGAUCAGCCACAUUGGGACUGAGACACGGCCCAAACUCCUACGGGAGGCAGCAGUGGGGAAUAUUGGACAAUGGGGGCAACCCUGAUCCAGCCAUGCCGCGUGAGUGAUGAAGGCCCUAGGGUUGUAAAGCUCUUUUGUGCGGGAAGAUAAUGACGGUACCGCAAGGAUAAGCCCCGGCUAACUUCGUG